UACGUAGGGGGCAAGCGUUAUCCGGAAUUACUGGGUGUAAAGGGAGCGUAGACGGUAAUGUAAGUCUGGAGUGAAAGGCGGGGGCCCAACCCCCGGACUGCUCUGGAAACUAUGUUACUAGAGUGCAGGAGAGGUAAGCGGAAUUCCUGGUGUAGCGGUGAAAUGCGUAGAUAUUAGGAGGAACACCAGUGGCGAAGGCGGCUUACUGGACUGUAACUGACGUUGAGGCUCGAAAGCGUGGGGAGCAAACAGG
This 253-nucleotide ribosomal RNA is filed under the name uncultured bacterium. Its description in RNAcentral is "partial 16S ribosomal RNA". It matches the Rfam family "Bacterial small subunit ribosomal RNA", at positions 524 to 776 of the family's 1533-position model. The record is from RNAcentral.